CUUCCUGCUAUGUUUCGGCGCGCUCCCAAAUCCGACGAGUUUGGGGUAGUUGGGGGCUGCUUUGGUUUUUUCCUCCUGUCUCCUUAAAGCUCAGUUACUUUAUUUUAAAAGUCCUGAUACGAUAGUCAUCCUGGAGGGUAAGUGUGGUUUAUGAAGAUUUUCGUGUUUAAAGAGAAGCUCAGCGAAGAGAAAUGAGAUUGCACUUCCUGUCGGUGCCCGCCACGUCCCUCGCGCCCUGAGCCUUUCCUCUCCCCGCCCCUCUUUUCGCGUCCCUCAGCCCCUUUUGAGCUCUCUUUUCCUCACUUUUCAGCAUCUCGAUUUCUUUUCCGUGGUGGUGGGAUUCUUUUUGUCGUUAUUGCAAAUGAACAAAUAGCCCCCCCCCCUUUUUUUUUCUUUUCUAAACGAAAGUAAAAAGUGGCCUCUGUGUCUCCGCAGAUUCUCUUAAACUCAGGACGCGCAUCGGUCUGUCCGACCUUCCCGGCAAGAGACAAAGUCACUGCUGGGAGGCCCCCUCGGACAGUUUUCAGUUUUAACUUUCGCCUUAUUCUCGUCUUGUCUUGAUGUCACGGCCCUGAGGAACAGCUCGUUCUGCAGAAGAGGUAACAGGUUUCAGAUUUUGUUUCCUUUUUGAAAGGCUGUUGCCUUUCAAACAUCUGGAAUUAAUGCCGCGGCCCUCGGGCGAGUCGCCCUCGGUUUCUGUAGCUCUGAUUUUAUCUCUGUGUCUUUUCCCCUCUAAUUUCUAAAGUUCUGUUUUUCCCUCUAAUUCUGUUUUUCCCUCUAAUUUCUAAUGUUCUGUCACUCUCGUUUUUGUUCUCUACUUUUCUCUCUCUCCUUCAGAAUAAAGAAAAUUCGUUUAAAUAAUGAGGAAAAUGAGCGUUCCUGUCGUUCUCCCUCCACUCUUGACCGUGCGUCUCUGCGUUGCUCUUUCGAACCUCCAGGCCGGCGGGAAUCUGGGCGCGCAGACUCGGCCCGGGUCGUCGCGGCCUCAGGACGCAGCCCAUUCCGCCUGGCACGACUACUGGGCCGCGUCUUGUCAGUCUAUCAGCUUCUGAGCCCAGGAAUGGGGGUGGGGGAAGGACGGUGCGACUAACGGGCCCCCACCCGAAGACCGCAGAACCUGGCGCCCCGGAAGAGCCCUGGAAGAUGCCCACCGGGAGGCUGAGGCUGGAGGGAGGAGUGGGUGGGGGUGAUUCGCUGGAGGACCGGGCGGAGAGCUUCCAGAAAGUUCACCAGGCCCCGGCGCGAGGGCGCUCCGACACGGACAAGGUCUAUGAUAGCGAUAAAAAGCUGGUUACUCGCUCCCAGAAAAUGCCACUUGCUGGAGUCUGUGAAUGGGUUUAGGAGAGAGAAGGGUGUCAGCCCCCGCGAGGGUCUCCCGCGUGAAGUGAGGAUAAGGGAGUGCUUCAGGGAUAAUAUGUCCUCUAGGAGCGCAGGACCCAGACCCCACCUUCCAACACCUGGAGGUUCCGAGGCCAAGUAUGUCUAGCCCCGGCUGCACCUGGGUAGGUGAGCCAUGGGGUCGGGGGAAGAGCGCCGACAACCGCCGGAUUCCGCGCAGGGGCCGCCAGGCGCCUGCUCCCAGAGCUCCUUUGGACAAAGUUUUCGGGAAAUUCUAUUAAACCGAAAACGAAAUAAACUAUACAAAUCUGCCUAGCUUUUGAGGGGGCGGUGGCCCAGGUAUCCUUCUCGCUUGAGGCCAGGUCACCGUGAGAUUUCCCCACUCCGGACCGGGGAUCCCGCAGAAGCCAAGGGUGUAGCCACGAGGACUCGGGAACCCGAGGCGGCCCAGCAGAUGCGUGAGGAACUUCAUUUUCUCAGGAGUGGGAGGAGGAGCAUCCUGGCAUCUAACACAGCCCAACCAGAGGGAAUCCGCCCAACCCCUAGUGGCGGCAUCUCACUCUUCUCUCGCUCCUCUUUUCUGGCAUUCACAUCCCCACAGGUCUGAGACCCACAGCCUUUUCUCCCACUCCCCGGAGGUUAGGGUGUUCAUGUGAGUGAAUGUGUUAUGGAGGGAGGCAAAAUAAACCCGUUAUGGAGGGAGGGCAAAUAAACCCAAGGUCAUCUCACCCACACUUCGACAGGGCAGGAUAUCCUCUGCCCAGCUUCCCAGGCCGCUCCAGGGCCAGUUCCUCCUGAUUUGGAUUGGGUUGGUCGGAGGGGAAAGCAAGGGCAUGGCCCAACUGAGCCACCAGCACUAGUAGAGCACGCCCAGGUUGAGGCAGCAGGGUCUACCCCCUUCCCAACCUGAGUGUAGCUUCACACUUGGACACACCCCCUCCCACGUGCGUGUGACCACUCUCUGCAAAGUUUGGGACACACUCUCACGCCAGCAUUCAGAGAGCACCACCGGGCCCAGGCUCAACUCUGAUGCUACCCUCCGGCUCAAGGGGACCCCUUCAGUGAGUUUGACCUCACAGUGUUCUUAUAAGCAUGUCCCCAUCCUGGGCCAUCCACUUGGUGUGUGACAUUCCCAGACUCCCACAGAUUUCCACCUCGGUGAUAGCACACGCCGACAGGAGCACAUUCUUACGCAGGUAUGCCCUGGUUUAUGCGCGGAGCUCCAGUCUUACUUCUACAGUUGGGCCCCGGGCAGAAAAAGCCAAAACCC
Molecule: long non-coding RNA, 2608 nt
Filed under: Homo sapiens (human)
Lineage: Eukaryota; Metazoa; Chordata; Mammalia; Primates; Hominidae
Description: HSALNT0292110
Source: RNAcentral